AAAAUGAAGGACCAAAAUUAAAACUAAUCAAAGCCUGCUUUAAAAAAUCCCAUUCUAUAGAAUCAAAGGCUUUUUCAAAAUCUACUAGUAAUAACAAUCCUUCUAUAUCAUUUUUUCUAGAUAGUGCAUUAAAUCAUAUAGAAGUCUAGUGUUCUCUCCUAUGAAUCUCCCUUUCAUAAAGCCCUUUUGUGUGUCACUAAUAAUGGCGAACAGUACCUUUUUAGCUCUACCAGCAAGAACUGCAGAUGCAAUUUUCAUAUCUGUGUUCAUCAAGCUGAUCGGUCGCCAGUUACCCAUGUACCUCCUAUCUUUCCCUUCCUUAGGAAUACAAGUAAUAAUACUUUGGUAUUGAAAAUCUGAAAAAUGGCCCAACUCAUAUCCAAAUUGCAGAGAUCUAAAGACAAAUGGACCAAUAUCUUUCCAAAAAAAAUUGAAAAAAUCCACUGUAAAUCCAUCAGAUCCUGGAGACUUGCCAUUUUGCAUCUGUUUUAAAGCUUCCCCA
Molecule: long non-coding RNA, 502 nt
Filed under: Mytilus galloprovincialis (Mediterranean mussel)
Lineage: Eukaryota; Metazoa; Mollusca; Bivalvia; Mytilida; Mytilidae
Source: RNAcentral